UGGCGACCGGCGCACGGGUGCGUAACGCGUAUGCAACCUACCCCACAACAGGGGGAUAACACUGAGAAAUUGGUACUAAUACCCCAUAACAUCAGGACCGGCAUCGGUUCUGGUUGAAAACUCCGGUGGUUAUAGAUGGGCAUGCGUUGUAUUAGCUGGUUGGUGAGGUAACGGCUCACCAAGGCAACGAUACAUAGGGGGACUGAGAGGUUAACCCCCCACAUUGGUACUGAGACACGGACCAA
RNAcentral lists this ribosomal RNA (245 nucleotides) under uncultured bacterium. Its description in RNAcentral is "partial 16S ribosomal RNA". It matches the Rfam family "Bacterial small subunit ribosomal RNA", at positions 89 to 334 of the family's 1533-position model. The record is from RNAcentral.